AUGGCCUUCCAUGUUCUACUUCUUCUCGAUGAUGGCGGCUGGCGUGGACAUGCAGGCUGCCACCUCGUCGACAUCCACGCAACCGGCUUCUUUCUCUACGUGCAUGGCACGGCUAAGCGCGCAUGGACGGCGGAUGGCGCGGUCGCAGGCACUGAAGGUGGCGAUGCCCGUGCCGGGAUGGAGCAACUUGCCACUCCUCCGCAAGCUGGCUUCGAGCGGAUUCGCCGGUUCUCCCAGUUUAGUCAAAGAUUUCAGCAGACGGCCAUAGCUUUGACCAUCCCCUUCUUCCUUCAACAUUUGACGGCCGGCAAGCUCUUGUCCUCAGUGCAGCCAAGGCAGGCGGCCAUGGACGGCGACAGCCCGGUGAUGACGGACAGCGAGCGGAGGGCGUACCGGUACGUGCAGGCGCCCAAGGUGCAGGGCCUGGGCGGCAUCAAGAACUCAUGGUCCAACGACUCCCUCUUCAGCCUCAGCUACGCCGGCGCGGGGGGCAGGGCCGUCGUCCACUCGUGCGUCUGCGCGCCCACCACGCACCCGGGCUCCUUCCGCUGCAAGCACCACCGCCAGAGCGCCGCCCACCUCGGCGUCGCCGGUCACGCGCAAGCGCAGCCCACGGCUGAGGCUAAGCGCAACGAGGUCCACGGAGAAAUGUCGACCGCGGAUGACGAGAAGGCGUCCUGA
RNAcentral lists this ribosomal RNA (681 nucleotides) under Triticum aestivum (bread wheat). RNAcentral describes it as "partial small subunit ribosomal RNA". Lineage: Eukaryota; Viridiplantae; Streptophyta; Magnoliopsida; Poales; Poaceae. The record is from RNAcentral.